GAUGAACGCUAGCUACAGGCUUAACACAUGCAAGUCGAGGGGUAACGAGAGGGAAGCUUGCUUUCCUUGUCGACGACCGGCGCACGGGUGAGUAACGCGUAUCCAACCUGCGCCCAACUAGGGAAUAACCUUGCGAAAGUAAGACUAAUACCCUAUAAUUUCCUCAGAUGUCAUCUGACGAGGAAUAAAGAUUUAUCGGUGGUGGAUCGGGAUGCGUCUGAUUAGCUUGUUGGCGGGGUAACGGCCCACCAAGUCAACGAUCAGUAGGGGUUCUGAGAGGAAGGUCACCCACAUUGGAACUGAGACACGGUCCAAACUCCUACGGGAGGCAGCAGUGAGGAAUAUUGGUCAAUGGGCGGAAGCCUGAACCAGCCAAGUAGCGUGCAGGAUGACGGCCCUAUGGGUUGUAAACUGCUUUUAUACAGGAAUAAAGUUAGCCACGUGUGGUUAUUUGUAGGUACUGUAUGAAUAAGGACCGGCUAAUUCCGUGCCAGCCGCCGCGGUAA
RNAcentral lists this ribosomal RNA (506 nucleotides) under uncultured bacterium. RNAcentral's name for it is "partial 16S ribosomal RNA". It matches the Rfam family "Bacterial small subunit ribosomal RNA", at positions 28 to 523 of the family's 1533-position model. The record is from RNAcentral.